UCUUCUCUUUUUCCCUGAUUCCUCUCACGCCGCCCACUCUCUUCCUCUCUCCCAUGCGAUCGCCGCCGACUCACUAUCCUCGUCGCGUGGUGCCGCCCCUUCAACGGUGCUGGCCCCCAGCCAUCGCUGCUAGCCGCGACCAGCGUUGUGGCUACCAUGGUCGGCCAAUCUCAUCACCGAUCGCGGGCUCGUGCGUCUCAGCCGCUGCGAGCAGCCAUCAGCCGCAACAAUCCACCAUCAACUGUCGUGAGUGAACGUCAGCCAGCCAUCGUCGCGUCGUUCUCUUCCCCGAUCUCCACCGACAGAGGCUUGAAACAUUGCAGGGGAGAAAUUUGUUGACUCAUCUAGCGCCACCAUUGGUUGUGGCUGUCUGCCCAGAUUUCUUCAAUUCCUCAAAUUCCUGCGCCAUCACCAGCUGCUGAGAGAAGAGCACUUGUGUUGCCUAUGGUAAAACAUCCCUUUGUAGUAAGAUUACUGGUUGCAGAGCUUCCAAAAGAUGGAUCUAGCCACAAGUUUAGGUUAGUGGGUAGAUGACAUGUCGUGUCAGUCAGAGGUCCUGGCUACCGAUCUCACGUUACAUCGAGACUUUUUAUUUCUGCUAUUACUCUUACUCGUAUUUUGGCUUUCCGAAAUAGUUCAUGUGUUGUAUAACUUAUGUGUGGAUUUCUUAACUUGUAGUGUCUUUUUUUUUCUAUAUGUAUUUGUUGAGUUAGGUCGUACCGGUACGCAACCCAGCCUAGUUCUUAUUUUACGUGGUUGUGUUUAUUUUCAGCCAUGUGGGCUGUAUAUAUUAUCUUGUAUUGCCUUGUGGCCAUA
Molecule: long non-coding RNA, 816 nt
Organism: Zingiber officinale
Lineage: Eukaryota; Viridiplantae; Streptophyta; Magnoliopsida; Zingiberales; Zingiberaceae
Exons: 2
Source: RefSeq, a predicted model, not a curated record